CACUCCUACGGGAGGCAGCAGUGGGGAAUAUUGCACAAUGGGCGCAAGCCUGAUGCAGCCAUGCCGCGUGUAUGAAGAAGGCCUUCGGGUUGUAAAGUACUUUCAGCGGGGAGGAAGGCGAUAAGGUUAAUAACCUUGUUGAUUGACGUUACCCGCAGAAGAAGCACCGGCUAACUCCGUGCCAGCAGCCGCGGUAAUACGGAGGGUGCAAGCGUUAAUCGGAAUUACUGGGCGUAAAGCGCACGCAGGCGGUCUGUCAAGUCGGAUGUGAAAUCCCCGGGCUCAACCUGGGAACUGCAUUCGAAACUGGCAGGCUAGAGUCUUGUAGAGGGGGGUAGAAUUCCAGGUGUAGUGGUGAAAUGCGUAGAGAUCUGGAGGAAUACCGGUGGCGAAGGCGGCCCCCUGGACAAAGACUGACGCUCAGGUGCGAAAGCGUGGGGAGCAAACAGGAUUAGAAACCCUAGUAGUCCCAUG
This 474-nucleotide ribosomal RNA is filed under the name uncultured organism. Its description in RNAcentral is "partial 16S ribosomal RNA". It matches the Rfam family "Bacterial small subunit ribosomal RNA", at positions 334 to 799 of the family's 1533-position model. The record is from RNAcentral.